GACGAACGCUGGCGGCGUGCUUAACACAUGCCAGUCGAACGGAAAGGCCCUGCUUUUGUGGGGUGCUCGAGUGGCGAACGGGUGAGUAACACGUGAGUAACCUGCCCUUGACUUUGGGAUAACUUCAGGAAACUGGGGCUAAUACCGGAUAGGAGCUCCUGCUGCAUGGUGGGGGUUGGAAAGUUUCGGCGGUUGGGGAUGGACUCGCGGCUUAUCAGCUUGUUGGUGGGGUAGUGGCUUACCAAGGCUUUGACGGGUAGCCGGCCUGAGAGGGUGACCGGCCACAUUGGGACUGAGAUACGGCCCAGACUCCUACGGGAGGCAGCAGUGGGGAAUAUUGCACAAGGGGCGGAAGCCUGAUGCAGCAACGCCGCGUGCGGGAUGACGGCCUUCGGGUUGUAAACCGCUUUCGCCUGUGACGAAGCGUGAGUGACGGUAAUGGGUAAAGAAGCACCGGCUAACUACGUG
Molecule: ribosomal RNA, 468 nt
Filed under: uncultured bacterium
Lineage: Bacteria
Description: partial 16S ribosomal RNA
Rfam family: Bacterial small subunit ribosomal RNA
Source: RNAcentral